RNAcentral lists this transfer-messenger RNA (376 nucleotides) under bacterium. RNAcentral's name for it is "g DRYD01 X1 Standard tmRNA". It matches the Rfam family "transfer-messenger RNA". Rfam says of the family: Bacterial tmRNA, also known as 10Sa RNA or SsrA, is named for its dual tRNA and mRNA-like properties. Its role is to liberate the mRNA from a stalled ribosome. The record is from RNAcentral. RNAcentral also lists the same sequence under 2 other names.
GGGGGUGUAAGGGGUUCGACGGUAAGAGGUUAAGUAGAUAAGCUGCAGGCCGGGUCUUAGCUCCGUUAAAGCUAAGAGUAAAAUAAACGCCGACAACCAAUUAGCUUUAGCUGCUUAAUAAUAAGCAGGCUUGCUAAGGUAAGCGCUUGCUCUUACCUUAGUGGGUUAAGAUCCAAGCAAGCUGCGUUUAUAAGUCGCACCGCUUAUAAACUAAGAUAAUCGGUGCUACGUGUAUUGUUAAGUUUCCUGGUUAUCUUAAUAAUACACUAAAACUUAAAACCAGGGGUUUGGUAAGUUAGCCAUAAACUUACCUAAGCCUGUAGAUGCUAUCUGCUUAGCUUACCGGACGUGGGUUCAACUCCCACCACCUCCACCA